AAUGCCUUAGAUAUGCUCUGAGCUCCAUCAGGGGUAUGCGAAAGUCAAAUGAGAUUCACACAUCCAAGAAACCUGAACAGACAAGGAAUUAACAAAAGCUUGCAUCUCUAUGGCAGCCUAUUGAAAGAUUGGGAAGUGGAAGCAUGGAGAGGGAAGCUUCAGAUAGAAAGAGAAACAGCUAAUAGAGUGACAGGAUGGUGGAAGCAGAAGUUGGAGUGAUGCAUUUUGAAAAUCGAGGAAGUGACCACAAGCCAAGGAAUGUAAAUAUCCACUAAAAACUGAAAAUGGCAAGGAAUUGGAUGCUUCCCUCAGAGCCUCCAGGAAGAACCAGCCUUACCAAUAUCUUGACAUUAGCCUGGAGAAAUUUCUGGCUCAUGUAUUUUGAAGUCUUUGGAAUUUCUGUUGUUGGAUGCUCUGAAAUAUGUCAGCAGCAGGACUUGUAGAAAGAACACUACAAGAGGCAUGUGAAAGCUUGUGCUUCUAGCUCUGAUUUUGAUACUGUUACCUGCAAGCUGAGAAACCUCAAUUUUUUUGAAUUUCUACUUGAGAUGUAUAAAGCACAGACACCUUUUUGUCUACUUGCAGCAUUAAUAUAAGGAUCAAGAAGGCUAAUAUAUAAGAUCAUUUUCAAAACUGUAAUGGAUUCUACAAAAUAAAUGUUACUAUGAUAAAAUA
Canis lupus familiaris (dog) is the source of this 675-nucleotide long non-coding RNA. RefSeq lists it as uncharacterized. Lineage: Eukaryota; Metazoa; Chordata; Mammalia; Carnivora; Canidae. The record is from RefSeq and is a predicted model, not a curated record. The transcript is spliced from 5 exons.